Molecule: ribosomal RNA, 356 nt
Filed under: uncultured bacterium
Lineage: Bacteria
Description: bacterial SSU rRNA
Rfam family: Bacterial small subunit ribosomal RNA
Source: RNAcentral
AGAGUUUGAUCCUGGCUCAGGAUGAACGCUAGCGACAGGCCUAACACAUGCAAGUCGAGGGGCAGCGAAGAGGUAGCAAUACCUUUGUCGGCGACCGGCGCACGGGUGAGUAACACGUAUGCAAUCCACCUGUAACAGGGGGAUAACCCGGAGAAAUCCGGACUAAUACCCCAUAAUAUGGGCGCUCCGCAUGGAGAGCCCAUUAAAGAGAGCAAUUUUGGUUACAGACGAGCAUGCGCUCCAUUAGCCAGUUGGCGGGGUAACGGCCCACCAAGGCAACGAUCAGUAGGGGUUCUGAGAGGAAGGUCCCCCACAUUGGAACUGAGACACGGUCCAAACUCCUACGGGAGGCAGCA